This 936-nucleotide ribosomal RNA is filed under the name Brochothrix sp. WTPin_36. RNAcentral describes it as "bacterial SSU rRNA". It matches the Rfam family "Bacterial small subunit ribosomal RNA", at positions 39 to 958 of the family's 1533-position model. Lineage: Bacteria; Bacillati; Bacillota; Bacilli; Caryophanales; Listeriaceae. The record is from RNAcentral.
GCGCGUGCCUAAUACAUGCAAGUCGAACGAACGGAUAAAGAGCUUGCUCUUUUGAAGUUAGUGGCGGACGGGUGAGUAACACGUGGGUAACCUGCCUCACAGCUGGGGAUAACAUCGAGAAAUCGAUGCUAAUACCGAAUGUGCUGAACAUCAUAAGAUGUUCAAGUGAAAGACGGUUUCGGCUGUCACUGUGAGAUGGACCCGCGCUGGAUUAGCUAGUUGGUAAGGUAAUGGCUUACCAAGGCGACGAUCCAUAGCCGACCUGAGAGGGUGAUCGGCCACAUUGGGACUGAGACACGGCCCAAACUCCUACGGGAGGCAGCAGUAGGGAAUCUUCGGCAAUGGACGAAAGUCUGACCGAGCAACGCCGCGUGAGCGAAGAAGGCCUUCGGGUCGUAAAGCUCUGUUGUUAGAGAAGAACAUGGGUGAGAGUAACUGUUCACCCCUUGACGGUAUCUAACCAGAAAGCCACGGCUAACUACGUGCCAGCAGCCGCGGUAAUACGUAGGUGGCAAGCGUUGUCCGGAAUUAUUGGGCGUAAAGCGCGCGCAGGCGGUCUCUUAAGUCUGAUGUGAAAGCCCCCGGCUCAACCGGGGAGGGUCAUUGGAAACUGGGAGACUUGAGGACAGAAGAGGAGAGUGGAAUUCCAAGUGUAGCGGUGAAAUGCGUAGAUAUUUGGAGGAACACCAGUGGCGAAGGCGGCUCUCUGGUCUGUUACUGACGCUGAGGCGCGAAAGCGUGGGAGCAAACAGGAUUAGAUACCCUGGUAGUCCACGCCGUAAACGAUGAGUGCUAAGUGUUAGGGGGUUUCCGCCCCUUAGUGCUGCAGUUAACGCAUUAAGCACUCCGCCUGGGGAGUACGACCGCAAGGUUGAAACUCAAAGGAAUUGACGGGGGCCCGCACAAGCGGUGGAGCAUGUGGUUUAAUUCGAAGCA